GAUGAACGCUGGCGGCGUGCCUAAUACAUGCAAGUCGAGCGAACAGACGAGGAGCUUGCUCCUCUGACGUUAGCGGCGGACGGGUGAGUAACACGUGGAUAACCUACCUAUAAGACUGGGAUAACUUCGGGAAACCGGAGCUAAUACCGGAUAAUAUAUUGAACCGCAUGGUUCAAUAGUGAAAGACGGUUUUGCUGUCACUUAUAGAUGGAUCCGCGCCGCAUUAGCUAGUUGGUAAGGUAACGGCUUACCAAGGCAACGAUGCGUAGCCGACCUGAGAGGGUGAGCGGCCACACUGGAACUGAGACACGGUCCAGACUCCUACGGGAGGCAGCAGUAGGGAAUCUUCCGCAAUGGGCGAAAGCCUGACGGAGCAACGCCGCGUGAGUGAUGAAGGUCUUCGGAUCGUAGAACUCUGUUAUUAGGGAAGAACAAAUGUGUAAGUAACUAUGCACGUCUUGACGGUACCUAAUCAGAAAGCCACGGCUAACUACGUG
This 497-nucleotide ribosomal RNA is filed under the name uncultured bacterium. RNAcentral describes it as "partial 16S ribosomal RNA". It matches the Rfam family "Bacterial small subunit ribosomal RNA", at positions 28 to 507 of the family's 1533-position model. The record is from RNAcentral.